CGGUUGAUCCUGCCGGACCCGACUGCUAUUUGGGUGAGGAUAAGCCAUGCGAGUCGAAUGGGAUACCUAAAUUUCCCAUGGCGAACUGCUCAGUAACACAUGAUCAACUUACCCUAUUGAGAAAGAUAACCUCGGGAAACUGAGGAUAAUAUUUCAUAGUUGAAUUGGCUUGGAAAAGUUUUUCAACAAAAGGGAUAGGGAAAAUGGUCUCUAUCCGCUAUAGGAUAGGAUCGUGUUCGAUUAUGGUAGUUGGUGAGGUAAAGGCUCACCAAGCCGAUAAUCGAUAGGGGCCGUGAGAGCGGGAGCCCCGAGAUGGGUAUUGAGACAACGACCCAGGCCUUACGAGGCGCAGCAGGUACGAAACCUCCACAAUACACGAAAGUGUGAUGGGGUUACCCAAAGUGUUCAUUAUUGAACUGUGGUAGGAGAGUAAUGUCCCCUACUAGAAAGGAGAGGGCAAGGCUGGUGCCAGCCGCCGCGGUAAAACCAGCUCUUCAAGUGGUCGGGAUAAUUAUUGGGCUUAAAGUGUCCGUAGCCGGUUUACUAAGUUCCUGGUAAAAUCGGGUAGCUUAACUAUCUGUAUGCUAGGAAUACUACUAUACUAGAGGGCGGGAGAGGUCUGAGGUACUACAGGGGUAGGGGUGAAAUCUUAUAAUCCUUGUAGGACCACCAGUGGCGAAGGCGUCAGACUGGAACGCGCCUGACGGUGAGGGACGAAAACCAGGGGAGCGAACCGGAUUAGAUACCCGGGUAGUCCUGGCUGUAAACGAUGCAUACUAGGUGAUGGUACGGCUAUGAGCCAUAUCAGUGCCGUAGGGAAACCGUUAAGUGUGCCGCCUGGGAAGUACGGUCGCAAGGCUGAAACUUAAAGGAAUUGGCGGGAAGGGCGAAUU
Molecule: ribosomal RNA, 893 nt
Filed under: uncultured archaeon
Lineage: Archaea
Description: bacterial SSU rRNA
Rfam family: Archaeal small subunit ribosomal RNA
Source: RNAcentral